AGCUGACUAGCUCAGCUGGUUAGAGUGUCAUGCUAAUAACAUGAAUGUCUUGGGUUCAACCCCUACAUUGGCCA
Non-coding RNA from Tephrocybe sp. NHM501043, 74 nucleotides. The record is from the annotation of a GenBank genome assembly. NCBI's taxonomy places the organism in Eukaryota, Fungi, Basidiomycota, Agaricomycetes, Agaricales, Lyophyllaceae.